Long non-coding RNA from Nothoprocta perdicaria, 246 nucleotides. RefSeq lists it as uncharacterized. The record is from RefSeq and is a predicted model, not a curated record. Lineage: Eukaryota; Metazoa; Chordata; Aves; Tinamiformes; Tinamidae. The transcript is spliced from 3 exons.
GGAGAAUGUUCUGGAAGUGGCUWUUUCUAGCAUGUGGGAGAGCAUGUUCAGACCUCCUAGUUUAUUCCCGGGAUGAAUUGAUCAGCUCUGUGGAAGACCAAGAAGAGUCAGUGUCCUCCUCCAUGGCGAAUUCUGGAUGGAUUCUGCCAAGCUUGUUCCUGGCACAUGUGUUGUGACACGACAUUAUUGCUGUAUGUCUGCAACAGUUCUGACGCAUACUGAGCAUGAAUCUGUGCUUGCUGAGUG